UGGGUUCCUCAGGAGGUGGGAUGGCUCAAGAGUGGAGCUUGGGGAGUCUCAGAGCUAGGGAUGUAAGACAAGGCAGGUACCACACUGGGUAUAGAGGGCAGGUAACUUGUGGAGGGCAGUGUUGUCUCACUGUUCAGAGAUCCAAGGUUCUGUGUGGACACCAGGCCAGCAGCAUAGUCAGGGGUGGCAUUUUCAAAAACCACCUCUUCCUUGGUGGGCUUUUCUCUCACUUCUGUGUCUAAAGUCUUCCUCCUCCUCUUUACCUCUGAGCACCAACCGUAUUGAGAAAUAUCCAGCUGCUUCACACCCCUUUCUUCAGUGGUGUCCUCAAAGGUGUUAUUGGAGUCUGGUUCCCAGAAGGGCUGAAGACACUGGUUGUGUUGGG
This 385-nucleotide long non-coding RNA is filed under the name Rattus norvegicus (Norway rat). RNAcentral's name for it is "long non-coding RNA NONRATT032974". The record is from RNAcentral. Lineage: Eukaryota; Metazoa; Chordata; Mammalia; Rodentia; Muridae.